CGGCGGACGGGUGAGUAACGCGUGGGUAACCUGCCUCAUACAGGGGGAUAACAGUCAGAAAUGACUGCUAAUACCGCAUAAGACCACGGUACCGCAUGGUACAGUGGUAAAAACUCCGGUGGUAUGAAAUGGACCCGCGUCUGAUUAGGUAGUUGGUGGGGUAACGGCCUACCAAGCCGACGAUCAGUAGCCGACCUGAGAGGGUGACCGGCCACAUUGGGACUGAGACACGGCCCAG
RNAcentral lists this ribosomal RNA (238 nucleotides) under uncultured bacterium. Its description in RNAcentral is "partial 16S ribosomal RNA". It matches the Rfam family "Bacterial small subunit ribosomal RNA", at positions 96 to 334 of the family's 1533-position model. The record is from RNAcentral.